Molecule: ribosomal RNA, 460 nt
Filed under: uncultured bacterium
Lineage: Bacteria
Description: partial 16S ribosomal RNA
Rfam family: Bacterial small subunit ribosomal RNA
Source: RNAcentral
CCUACGGGUGGCAGCAGUGAGGAAUAUUGGUCAAUGGGCGCGAGCCUGAACCAGCCAAGUAGCGUGAAGGAAGACUGCCCUACGGGUUGUAAACUUCUUUUAUAAGGGAAUAAAGUGAGGCACGUGUGCCUUUUUGUAUAUGCUUUAUGAAAAAAGAUCGGCUAACUCCGUGUCAGCAGCCGCGGUAAUACGGAGGAUCCGAGGGUUAUCCGGAUUUAUUGGGUUUAAAGGGAGCGUAGAUGGGUUGUUAAGUCAGUUGUGAAAGUUUGCGGCUCAACCUUAGAAUUGCACUUGAUACUGGCGGCCUUGAGUGCAGUUGAGGUAGGCGGAAUUCGUGGUGUAGCGGUGAAAUGCUUAGAUAUCACGAAGAACUCCGAUUGCGAAGGCAGCCUACUGGACUGCCACUGACGUUGAGGCUCGAAAGUGUGGGUAUCAAACAGGAUUAGAUACCCCAGUAGUC